UUUUUUCUUUCUGAUUCUUCCAGAAGAGGACUAAAUUGGUUGGUGGAUGAUAGUUGUCCUUUGUAUGGAGGCUGGAUGUAGAAGGUGCUGCAAGCUCUGCAAGCUGAUUAGUUAAUGUGGAAGCUGAAACCUGCCUUGGGAAGCUGACCAUUGACCAUUGUCUUGCUUUUACCUGGGUUGCUUCCUUGUUUCUCUUUAGGUUUUUAAGAAAGGAUAAAGGCUGAACAGAUCUCUGCAGUUACAAUUAUUCAUACUAGAAGAUACUGCUAACCUCUUUGUUAUUUGAGCAGCUGGAUGAGAUUCCUGAUUUCCAUAAUCUGUACCUGGAGGUUUAUACAGGAGAGGAUCACUGGGGCAGACUUGAACCAUGGUGCCCACAAGUGGGGAGGGUGCUCCAGCGGCCAUGGAAAGAACUUCCUUCUGCAGUUGGAGACAGCCUUCUGUGUGGCGGGUUAUCAUGCUGACUCGACUAACACAAACCCCCAUCUGGAUGCAGUCCAAACGCCAGAUGUGCCCCCGAUUAGUGUCAGUCUGGGGAAUGUUUCCAUGACUGAAAGGCUGAAGGACAGAGUGUGAUUUUCUACUUGGAAGAGACUCCAGGGCUCUGCAGAGAGGGAAGCCCUGCUGACCCAUUUCAGCAGACUGUGACACUUCAGCGACCUGCAAAUUCUACACAUUAGAGUUCAUAUUUUAUACAAACUCCGUACACCUAAGAUGUGGACUUAACAUUUCUACCAACAACAUCCAACUUCCAACAAAAGAUGCAGGCCCAUCAGAAGAUGAAAGCUACUAAUGAAGAUGCAUUAAAGAUGAUAUUUAUGGCCACCCCUUAGGGAAAAAAAGAUUCAUAAAUAAUUUCAUGGAAAUUACACCCAAAAUAGAGUCAUAAUUUCCUCAA
RNAcentral lists this long non-coding RNA (898 nucleotides) under Homo sapiens (human). RNAcentral describes it as "long independently transcribed non-coding RNA 1914 (LINC01914)". The record is from RNAcentral. Lineage: Eukaryota; Metazoa; Chordata; Mammalia; Primates; Hominidae.